RNAcentral lists this long non-coding RNA (419 nucleotides) under Ananas comosus (pineapple). Its description in RNAcentral is "long non-coding RNA (ACOM_LNC019536)". The record is from RNAcentral. Lineage: Eukaryota; Viridiplantae; Streptophyta; Magnoliopsida; Poales; Bromeliaceae.
AAUGCCAUAUGUGGAUUUCUCCUAAAUUGAUCUCAUUGCUAAGCAAAAGAAAGCUUAGUAUCAUCUAGGAAGCAUUCUAAUAAGGUUUCCAAGCUUCUAGAACCAUCCCUAGGGCAUCUACUUUGAGCCAUAGUGAUCCACCAUGAGAGCACCUCAAGAAAACCAUGGAUUUCAUGGAUUCAAGGCUCUUAGAGGGUUUCUAGGUUAAUUAGAGGAUCAAAUCUCUAAAUCCCAAGGUUUAAAACCAAACCCUAAACUAAAAAGGUAAAUAAACUCACCUUUGCCCAAGCCCUAGCAAGCUACUUCUUGUUGGAGAGCUUCUAGGUCCACCAAAAUCCACCAAAAUCCCUCUCCAUAGCUUCUUCUCCACCUUCUCCACCAAACCCUAGAGGGAUUCUAGAGAAAGAAAGAGAGGAAAA